Molecule: ribosomal RNA, 41 nt
Filed under: Priceomyces carsonii
Lineage: Eukaryota; Fungi; Ascomycota; Pichiomycetes; Serinales; Debaryomycetaceae
Description: partial 26S ribosomal RNA
Source: RNAcentral
AGUUUGACCUCAAAUCAGGUAGGNCUACCCGCUGAACUUAA